GAUGAACGCUGGCGGCGUGCCUAAUACAUGCAAGUCGAGCGAACGGACGAGAAGCUUUCUUCUCUGCUGUUAGCGGCGGACGGGCGAGUAACACGUGGAUCACCUACCUCUAAGACUGGGAUGACUUCGGGAAGCCGUAGCUAAUACCGGAUCAUAUUUUGUACCGCAUGGUUCAAAAGUGAUUGACGGUCUUGCUGUUACUUAUAGAUGAUUCCGCGUUGCAUUAGCUAGUUGGUAAGGUAACGGCUUACCAAGGCGACGAUGCGUAGCUGACCUGAGAGGAUGAUCGGCCACACUGGAACUGAGACACGGUCCAGACUCCUACGGGAGGCAGCAGUAGGGAAUAUUCCGCAAUGGGCGAAAGCCUGAUGGAGCCACGCCGCGUGAGUGAUGAAGGUCUUCGGAUCGUAAAACUCUGUUAUUAGGAAAGAACAUAUGUGUAAGUAACUGUGGACAUCUUGACGGUACCUAAACAGAAAGCCACGGCUAACUACGUG
This 497-nucleotide ribosomal RNA is filed under the name uncultured bacterium. RNAcentral describes it as "partial 16S ribosomal RNA". It matches the Rfam family "Bacterial small subunit ribosomal RNA", at positions 28 to 507 of the family's 1533-position model. The record is from RNAcentral.